UACACAUGCAGUCGACGAUGAUGCCCAGCUUGCUGGGCGGAUUAGUGGCGAACGGGUGAGUAAUACGUGAGUAACCUGCCCUUGACUCUGGGAUAAGCCUGGGAAACUGGGUCUAAUACUGGAUACUACCUCUUGCCGCAUGGUGGGUGGUGGAAAGGGUUUUACUGGUUUUGGAUGGGCUCACGGCCUAUCAGCUUGUUGGUGGGGUAAUGGCUCACCAAGGCGACGACGGGUAGCCGGCCUGAGAGGGUGACCGGCCACACUGGGACUGAGACACGGCCCAGACUCCUACGGGAGGCAGCAGUGGGGAAUAUUGCACAAUGGGCGGAAGCCUGAUGCAGCGACGCCGCGUGAGGGAUGACGGCCUUCGGGUUGUAAACCUCUUUUCAGUAGGGAAGAAGCGAGAGGUGACGGUACCUGCAGAAGAAGGCUCAAACUACGUGCCAGCAGCCGCGGUAAUACGUAGGGCGCAAGCGUUGUCCGGAAUUAUUGGGCGUAAAGAGCUCGUAGGCGGUUUGUCGCGUUCUUGCUUGUGAAAGCCCGGGGCUCAACCCCGGGUCUGCAGUGGGUACGGGCAGACUAGAGUGCAGUAGGGGAGACUGGAAUUCCUGGUGUAGCGGUGAAAUGCGCAGAUAUCAGGAGGAACACCGAUGGCGAAGGCAGGUCUCUGGGCUGUUACUGACGCUGAGGAGCGAAAGCAUGGGGAGCGAACAGGAUUAGAUACCCUGGUAGUCCAUGCCGUAAACGUUGGGCACUAGGUGUGGGGGGACAUUUCCACGUUUUCCGCGCUCAAACGCAUUAAGUGCCCCCGCCUGGGGGAGUACGGCCGCAAGGCUAAAACUCAAAGGAAUUGACGGGGGCCCCGCCACAAGCGGCGGAGCAUGCGGAUUAAUUCGAUGCAACGGCGAAGAACCUUACCAAGGCUUGACAUUCACCGGACCGCCCCAGAAGAAUGGGGUUUCCCUUCGGGGCUUGGUGGAACAGGUGGUGCAUGGUUGUCGUCAAUCAGUGUCGUGAGAAUGUUGGGUUAAGUUCCCCGCCAACCGAAGGCGCAAACCCUCGUUUUCUAUGUUGCCAGCACGUGAUGGUGGGGACUCAUAGGAGACUGCCGGGGUCAACUCGGAGGAAGGUGGGGAUGACGUCAAAUCAUCAUGCCCCUUAUGUCUUGGGCUUCACGCAUGCUACAAUGGCCGGUACAAAGGGUUGCGAUACUGUGAGGUGGAGCUAAUCCCAAAAAGCCGGUCUCAGUUCGGAUUGAGGUCUGCAACUCGACCUCAUGAAUCAAGAGUCGCUAGUAAUCGCAGAUCAGCAACGCUGCGGUGAAUACGUUCCCGGGCCUUGUACACACCGCCCGUCAAGUCACGAAAGUUGGUAACACCCGAAGCCGGUGGCCUAACCCCUUGUGGGAGGGAGCCGUCGAAGGUGGGACUGGCGAUUGGGACUAAGUCGUAACAAG
This 1456-nucleotide ribosomal RNA is filed under the name Kocuria rosea. Its description in RNAcentral is "bacterial SSU rRNA". It matches the Rfam family "Bacterial small subunit ribosomal RNA". The record is from RNAcentral. Lineage: Bacteria; Bacillati; Actinomycetota; Actinomycetes; Micrococcales; Micrococcaceae.